GUGGCCUAGUGGUUAGAGCGUCCGUCUCGGAUGCGGGAGGUCGUGAGUUUGAUCCCCGGUCUAUUCA
Non-coding RNA from Potamilus streckersoni, 67 nucleotides. The record is from the annotation of a GenBank genome assembly. Lineage: Eukaryota; Metazoa; Mollusca; Bivalvia; Unionida; Unionidae.